ACUCUUUGCUCAUCUUCCUUGAGCCAGCUUUAAGUGGUGAUGGCCAGGGCUCCAUCCUAAGCCCUUUUCCCUUGGGAACACUAUGGCCUCAUUGCUGUAAACACCCCAUUGCUCUGAUGGCCCACAUCUCUGUCUCCAGCCCCACCUCUCCUGAAAGUCCAAUUCUGCUACCCAGAGGCCUUCCCAGGUAGAGGGCUAAAGGUCCCCAGGGACUGGAGAAUUCAGUGAUCAGCCAGGCUGCAGAUCAAGGUUGAACUUGGAAGAAAACCACACCUGGUUCCUGGCUUGGAGUUGGAGGCUGCGCUUUCCGUGAACUUGGCCGUCCGAACUCCAGCUCUCCCUGGCCUCCUGGUUCCCAGGAUCCAGUCUCACUCCACCCCACCCUACCUCACCUCCCACCAAGCUGCCCUGGAAAGAGUCUGGCCUCUGGGACCAGAAACACGGGCCUGAGUCUAGGUUCUGCUGCUUCCUCACUGUGGGACCAAGGCCAAGACCGUCACUUAGCUGCACCUCUAUUUCUGCAUCUGUAAAAUGGGGUCAUAAUCAUCGCCCACACCCCCAAACUCAGCACUGCUCAUUCGUUCGGCCAGAGUGGCUUGGGCAUCUGCUCUGUGCUGGGCCCUAGGCCCUGCGGGAUACAGGGAACAGUUGGACAGAGCCUCUGUCUAUGGGGUGGAGAGAGGGG
This 685-nucleotide long non-coding RNA is filed under the name Homo sapiens (human). Its description in RNAcentral is "HSALNT0363917". The record is from RNAcentral. Lineage: Eukaryota; Metazoa; Chordata; Mammalia; Primates; Hominidae.